RNAcentral lists this ribosomal RNA (390 nucleotides) under uncultured bacterium. RNAcentral's name for it is "bacterial SSU rRNA". It matches the Rfam family "Bacterial small subunit ribosomal RNA", at positions 29 to 416 of the family's 1533-position model. The record is from RNAcentral.
AUUGAACGCUGGCGGCAUGCCUUACACAUGCAAGUCGAACGGCAGCACGGGGGCGAACCCUCGGUGGCGAGUGGCGAACGGGUGAGUAACAUAUCGGAACGUGCCCUGGAGUGGGGGAGUAACUAGUCGAAAGACUAGCUAAUACCGCAUACGAUCUACGGAUGAAAGGUGGGGGAGUCGCAAGACCUCAUGCUCGUGGAGCGGCCGAUAUCUGAUUAGCUAGNGGUGGGGUAAAGGCCUACCAAGGCAUCGAUCAGUAGCUGGUCUGAGAGGACGACCAGCCACACUGGGACUGAGACACGGCCCAGACUCCUACGGGAGGCAGCAGUGGGGAAUUUUGGACAAUGGGCGCAAGCCUGAUCCAGCAAUGCCGCGUGAGUGAAGAAGGCC